Molecule: long non-coding RNA, 2592 nt
Filed under: Homo sapiens (human)
Lineage: Eukaryota; Metazoa; Chordata; Mammalia; Primates; Hominidae
Description: HSALNT0366251
Source: RNAcentral
GAAAUACACAGCCAUGUUGCUCACACGAAGCCUGUUUGUUGGUCUCUUCACACAGACGCGCAUGAAAUUUGGUGCUGUGACUCGGAUUGGGGGACCUCCCUUGGGAGAUCAAUCCCCUGUACUCCUGUUCUUUGCUCCGUGAGAAAGAUCCACCUAUGAUCUCAGGUCCUCAGACCGACCAGCCCAAGGAACAUCUCACCAAUUUUAAAUCAGGUAAGCGGCCUCUUCUUACUCUCUUCUCCAACCUCUCUCACUGUCCCUCAACCACUUUCUCCUUUCCACUCUUCAAUCUCUCCCUUCUCUUAAUUUCAAUUCCUUUCAUUUUCUGGUAGAGACAAAGGAGACACGUUUUAUCCGUGGACCCAAAACUCCGGCGCCAGUCACGGACUGGGAAGGCAGCCUUCCCUUGGUGUUUAAUCAGUGCAGGGACGCCUCUCUGAUUAUACACCCACGUUUCAAGGGUGUCAGACCACGCAGGGACGCCUGCCUUGGUCCUUCAACCUCAGCGGCAAGUCCCGCUUUUCUGGGGUAGGGGCAAGUAGCUCAACCCCUUCUCUCCUUGUCUCUACCCCUUCUCUGCUUUUCUGGGAGAGGGGCAAGUACCCCUCAACCCCUUCUCCUUCACCCUUAGCGGCAAGUCCCGCUUUCCUAGGGGGCAAGAAGCCCCCAAUAGCUUAUUUCCGCACCCCAACCUCUUAUCUCUGUGCCCCAAUCCCUUAUUUCCGCACCCUGACCUCUUAUCUCUGUGCCCCAAUCCCUUAUUUCCGUGCCCCAACUCCUUCUCUGCUUUUCUGGAGGGCAAGAACCCCCCACCCCUUCUCCGUGUCUCUACUCUUCUCUGGGCUUGCCUCCUUCACUAUGGGUAAGCUUCCACCUUCCAUUCCUCCUUCUUCUCCCUUAGCCUGUGUUCUCAAAAACUUAAAACCUCUUCAACUCACACCUGACCUAAAACCUAAAUGCCUUAUUUUCUUCUGCAAUGCCGCUUGACCCCAAUACAAACUCGACAGUAGUUCCAAAUAGCCAGAAAAUGGCACUUUGAAUUUUUCCAUCCUGCAAAAUCUAAAUAAUUCUUGUCAUAAAAUAGGCAAACGAUCUGAGGUGCCUGACGUCCAGGCAUUCUUUUACACAUCAGUCCCGUCCUAGUCUCUGUGCCCAGUGCAACUCGUCCCAAAUCUUCCUUCUUUCCCUCCCGCCUGUCCCCUCAGUACCAACCCCAAGCGUCGCUGAAUCUUUCUAAUCUUCCUUUUCUACAGACCCACCUGACCUCUCCCUUCCUCCCAGGCUGCUCCUCGCCAGGCCGAGCUAGGUCCCAAUUCUUCCUCAGCCUCUGCUCCUCCACCCUAUAAUCCUUUUAUCACCUCCCCUCCUCACACCUGGUCCGGCUUACAGUUUCGUUCCGUGACUAGCCCUCCCCCACCUGCCCAGCAAUUUACUCUUAAAAAGGUGGCUGGAGCUAAAGGCAUAGUCAAGGUUAAUGCUCCUUUCUCUUUAUCCCAAAUCAGAAGCGUUUAGGCUCUUUUUCAUCAAAUAUAAAAAUCCAGCCCAGUUCAUGGCUCGUUCGGCAGCAACCCUGAGACACUUUACAGCCCUAGACCCUAAAAGGUCAAAAGGCCGUCUUAUUCUCAAAAUACAUUUUAUUACCCAAUCUGCUCCCAACAUUAAAUAAAACUCCAAAAAUUAAAUUCCGGCCCUCAAACCCCACAACAGGAUUUAAUUAACCUCGCCUUCAAGGUGUACCAUAAUAGAAAAAAGUUGCAAUUCCUUGCCUCCACUGUGAGACAAACCCCAGCCACAUCUCCAGCACACAAGAACUUCCAAACGCCUGAACCGCAGCGGCCAGGUGUUCCCCCAGAACCUCCUCCCCCAGGAGCUUGCUACACGUGCCGGAAAUCUGGCCACUGGGCCAAGGAAUGCCCGCAGCCCGGGAUUCCUCCUAAGCCGCGUCCCAUCUGUGCGGGACCCCACUGGAAAUCGGACUGUUCGACUCACCUGGCAGCCACUCCCAGAGCCCCUGGAACUCUGGCCCAAGGCUCUCUGACUGACUCCUUCCCAGAUCUUCUCGGCUUAGCGGCUGAAGACUGACGCUGCCCGAUCGCCUCAGAAGCCCCCUAGACCAUCACCGACGCUGAGCUUCGGGUAACUCUCACAGUGGAAGAUGAAGAAACUGGGGCUCUGAAUGGCAUAUUAACGCGUGCAGCUCCAGACAGCGAGGAAGUGAUGGCAACUCUAUCCGAACUCAAAUCUGCCAGACCUAUACCAGUAGGUGCCUGUGUGCAGUUGGGGACUCACCUCUGCCAGUGCUGGCAUGAGCUAGCUGUCUUGAACUGAAAACAGACACUCAAAGAUGGGCUGUGGGAUCCCAGAGAGGUGGCAGAAUGGUCAAAGCUAUGAAGCCAACAGCUGCUGCCAACAAGAAAGUCCUGAGCCCUGAGUGAUUGUAAUUUAAACUUAAUGCUGGGAGUGGGUGUUUAUUUUGGAGGAGUGGGCUGCUUAUUUUUGGUUUGGGGACUUGUUCAUUCAUCUUUUCUCAGCGGCGCCUACUGCUGCCCUGGCCCGAAGUUAAAGCUCAAUAAAUCACUGUUGCACAACUGA